ACCAGGGAAACGCCUUCGAGAUCAAUAUUGAUCAGGGGAGACGCCUGGCCCUGCAGAAUGAGAUCGACAAGGAGUCCAACCCAGUCCAACUCAAAGCAGCACCGGUACCAUCGAGUUUGGGCCAGUGGGGCACCGCCCAGUUUGACAGUUCCGACCAACAAAAUAAGUUCCC
Long non-coding RNA from Coregonus clupeaformis (lake whitefish), 172 nucleotides. RefSeq lists it as uncharacterized. Lineage: Eukaryota; Metazoa; Chordata; Actinopteri; Salmoniformes; Salmonidae. The transcript is spliced from 3 exons. The record is from RefSeq and is a predicted model, not a curated record.